Dermatophagoides pteronyssinus (European house dust mite) is the source of this 73-nucleotide non-coding RNA. NCBI's taxonomy places the organism in Eukaryota, Metazoa, Arthropoda, Arachnida, Sarcoptiformes, Pyroglyphidae. The record is from the annotation of a RefSeq genome assembly.
GGGCGAUUAGCUCACUUGGUAGAGCGCUCGCUUCGCAUGCGAGAGGUACAGGGUUCGAUUCCCUGAUCGUCCA